AACGUUCACUUCAAUCGCAAGUCUUGACUUGAAGACCCUUGAGCUACAGCACUAAACCGAGGAAGGGCAAAACAUCGGGUCAUCCUUUCUCGUCGAAUCAGGGGAUGCCCGAUUUAGAGAAAAAACUUUUCCUUUGCUGCAGGGCCGGGCAUUCAAGCGCAGAGAUGGAGCUCUAUAUAGCUGCCACCUUCUCUCUUAUUAGGGAGUGGCUAAGCUUUCACGGCGAGAUCAAGUUGACACCAUGCCGAACAUCAUUGGAGAUGCCACCCAAGACUGAAAUGCUAAACCUCAAUAGAGCCAGAUCCCUUAGCUCCGGCCAACCUCAAUCAAGGGGUUAAAGAAGAGUGUUUGGGGUGCAUUUUUUUUAACAGAAUUUGAUCUCUUUUUCACUAAAUAUUUAUAUUCCUGUUGUUAUGAUAAUAAAUUUAUCAUAAAUUAAAUGAUUAUAAGCUGAACAUAUAACUAUGUACCGAUGGGAACUCCUGCUCAUAAACGAGUUGUAAUUUUAUUUGUUGAUUUUGGACAACAAUUACACGAAGGACCAAGUGUGGAUAAAUUGCCUGCGAGUUUUGUUGGAGUGUUGUAGAAGCGAGACUGACUGGCUAUAUCUGUCGGCCACAAAGCUUUUAUGCUAGCUGGGAAACAUUGAUUGUGAAUUUGUAAUGGUUGAUGCCAGCAUAUUUGCCUAUCUCGCAUUUGUUGUAGAGUUUCACGUAUAAAUAGAGAAUCUCAUG
Populus nigra (black poplar) is the source of this 734-nucleotide long non-coding RNA. RefSeq lists it as uncharacterized. NCBI's taxonomy places the organism in Eukaryota, Viridiplantae, Streptophyta, Magnoliopsida, Malpighiales, Salicaceae. The transcript is spliced from 2 exons. The record is from RefSeq and is a predicted model, not a curated record.